UUCUAUUUACUAUGAUUUAAUAUCUCCAAGGAAAAGGUAAGAGUCUCCAUAGAACAGUUAAAUUCUACCAGCUACAAGUACUGCGAACUGUUCAAUGGCUGAGAAUGCUUUAAUUUAUUUAAUUUUUAUCUACUUAUGAAAAUGUUAUUAGUAUGCCUGUUUCCUGGAUAAAGAGAUUUAACCAAAGUGCUACUGCACACAAGCAUUGCAGGAUGGAACAGAGCCGAUUUUUGUGGUCCUCCUGCCUUGACAGAAGGAUCAUGGUCAAGCUGUGAUUGUCAGGUCUGGAUCCCAAGCCGUGGGAAUAGAGCAUCCUUCCACAAAGAAAGGAAUUGCAA
Mus musculus (house mouse) is the source of this 338-nucleotide long non-coding RNA. RefSeq annotates it as predicted gene, 39179. The record is from RefSeq and is a predicted model, not a curated record. The transcript has 3 exons. Lineage: Eukaryota; Metazoa; Chordata; Mammalia; Rodentia; Muridae.